GGGUUGUGAGGUUAAGCGACUAAGCGUACACGGUGGAUGCCCUGGCAGUCAGAGGCGAUGAAGGGCGUGCUAAUCUGCGAUAAGCGCCGGUAAGGUGAUAUGAACCGUUAUAACCGGCGAUACCCGAAUGGGGAAACCCAGUGUGAYUCGUCACACUAUCAUUAACUGAAUCCAUAGGUUAAUGAGGCGAACCGGGGGAACUGAAACAUCUAAGUACCCCGAGGAAAAGAAAUCAACCGAGAUUCCCCCAGUAGCGGCGAGCGAACGGGGAGGAGCCCAGAGCCUGAAUCAGCAUGUGUGUUAGUGGAAGCGUC
This 314-nucleotide ribosomal RNA is filed under the name Salmonella enterica subsp. enterica serovar Infantis. RNAcentral describes it as "partial 23S ribosomal RNA". Lineage: Bacteria; Pseudomonadati; Pseudomonadota; Gammaproteobacteria; Enterobacterales; Enterobacteriaceae. The record is from RNAcentral.